AUCCGGGUUGCGGACAGUGUCUGGUGGGUAGUUUGACUGGGGCGGUCUCCUCCUAAAGAGUAACGGAGGAGCACGAAGGUUGGCUAAUCCUGGUCGGACAUCAGGAGGUUAGUGCAAUGGCAUAAGCCAGCUUGACUGCGAGCGUGACGGCGCGAGCAGGUGCGAAAGCAGGUCAUAGUGAUCCGGUGGUUCUGAAUGGAAGGGCCAUCGCUCAACGGAUAAAAGGUACUCCGGGGAUAACAGGCUGAUACCGCCCAAGAGUUCAUAUCGACGGCGGUGUUUGGCACCUCGAUGUCGGCUCAUCACAUCCUGGGGCUGAAGUAGGUCCCAAGGGUAUGGCUGUUCGCCAUUUAAAGUGGUACGCGAGCUGGGUUUAGAACGUCGUGAGACAGUUCGGUCCCUAUCUGCCGUGGGCGCUGGAGAACUGAGGGGGGCUGCUCCUAGUACGAGAGGACCGGAGUGGACGCAUCACUGGUGUUCGGGUUGUCAUGCCAAUGGCACUGCCCGGUAGCUAAAUGCGGAAGAGAUAAGUGCUGAAAGCAUCUAAGCACGAAACUUGCCCCGAGAUGAGUUCUCCCUGACUCCUUGAGAGUCCUGAAGGAACGUUGAAGACGACGACGUUGAUAGGCCGG
This 632-nucleotide ribosomal RNA is filed under the name Escherichia coli. RNAcentral's name for it is "partial 23S ribosomal RNA". It matches the Rfam family "Bacterial large subunit ribosomal RNA", at positions 2238 to 2864 of the family's 2925-position model. Lineage: Bacteria; Pseudomonadati; Pseudomonadota; Gammaproteobacteria; Enterobacterales; Enterobacteriaceae. The record is from RNAcentral.